Molecule: non-coding RNA, 188 nt
Organism: Styela clava
Lineage: Eukaryota; Metazoa; Chordata; Ascidiacea; Stolidobranchia; Styelidae
Source: RefSeq, a predicted model, not a curated record
CUGCGGUUACAUAAAAGAUUCGAUAUAUUGUUGACCUUGGCUAAAAACAGGCGAAAACCUCUCUCUCUCUCUAUCUCAACUCAAUCUAUCUGUAUUCGUCAUCUGUUUACGUGAUCUAUUUGGCUCCAUCUGACAUCUCGAUUUAUAAUUUGUGCUGAGCAAGUGCUUGAUAAUUUUCCACGACAUAU